This 467-nucleotide ribosomal RNA is filed under the name uncultured bacterium. Its description in RNAcentral is "partial 16S ribosomal RNA". It matches the Rfam family "Bacterial small subunit ribosomal RNA", at positions 28 to 507 of the family's 1533-position model. The record is from RNAcentral.
GACGAACGCUGGCGGCGUGCUUAACACAUGCAAGUCGAACGGAAAGGCCUCUUUCGGGGGGUACUCGAGUGGCGAACGGGUGAGUAACACGUGAGUAACCUGCCCUUGACUUUGGGAUAACUUCAGGAAACUGGGGCUAAUACCGGAUAGGAGCUCCUGCUGCAUGGUGGGGGUUGGAAAGUUUCGGCGGUUGGGGAUGGACUCGCGGCUUAUCAGCUUGUUGGUGGGGUAGUGGCUUACCAAGGCUUUGACGGGUAGCCGGCCUGAGAGGGUGACCGGCCACAUUGGGACUGAGAUACGGCCCAGACUCCGACGGGAGGCAGCAGUGGGGAAUAUUGCACAAUGGGUGGAAGCCGGAUGCAGCAACGCCGUGGGCGGGAUGACGGCCUUCGGGUUGUAAACCGCUUUCGCUCAUGACGAAGCUUUGUGUGACGGUAGUGGGUAAAGAAGCACCGGCUAACUACGUG